Molecule: unclassified non-coding RNA, 407 nt
Filed under: uncultured Inocybe
Lineage: Eukaryota; Fungi; Basidiomycota; Agaricomycetes; Agaricales; Cortinariaceae
Description: sequence contains ITS2
Rfam family: 5.8S ribosomal RNA (bases 1-154)
Source: RNAcentral
AACUUUUGGCAACGGAUCUCUUUGUUCUCGCAUCGAUGAAGAACGCAGCGAAAUGCGUUAUGUACUGUGAAUUGCAGAAUUCAGUGAAUCAUCGAACCUUUGAACGCAUCUUUCGCUCCUUGGUAUUCCGAGGAGCAUGCCUGUUUGAGUGUCAUUUACAACUUCUCUACCACUUGGAGUCUCUCUGGGUGGCUUGGAAAUGGGGGAUGUGCAGGCCAGCUAAUGGUCUGCUCCCCUGAAAUGGAUUAGUGGCAUCUGAGCAGAGACUACCACAGGUGUGAUAACUAUUGAUCAAUGCCUUGGUAUAUACUGCAGGUUGUUGCUGCUUCUAAUGACCCAUUGACAAACUUGACCUCAAAUCAGGUAGGAUUACCCGCUGAACUUAAGCAUAUCAAUAAGCGGAGGCU